UACGGGGGGGGCAAGCGUUGUUCGGAAUUACUGGGCGUAAAGGGCUCGUAGGCGGCCAACUAAGUCAGACGUGAAAUCCCCAGGCUCAACCUGGGAACUGCGUCUGAUACUGGAUGGCUUGAAUCCGGGAGAGGGAUGCAGAAUUCCAGGUGUAGCGGUGAAAUGCGUAGAUAUCUGGAGGAACACCGGUGGCGAAGGCAGCAUCCUGGACCGGCAUUGACGCUGAGGCGCGAAAGCUAGGGGAGCAAACGGG
This 253-nucleotide ribosomal RNA is filed under the name uncultured bacterium. Its description in RNAcentral is "partial 16S ribosomal RNA". It matches the Rfam family "Bacterial small subunit ribosomal RNA", at positions 524 to 776 of the family's 1533-position model. The record is from RNAcentral.